UACAGAGGUCUCGAGCGUUAGGCGGAAUCACUGGGCUUAAAGCGUGUGUAGGCGGGUCGUUAAGUACCUUGUGAAAUCCCAUGGCUCAACCAUGGAACUGCUGGGUAUACUGGCGAUCUUGUGCAACCUAGGGGCGAGCGGAACAGAUGGUGGAGCGGUGAAAUGCGUAGAUAUCAUCUGGAACGCCAAUGGUGAAACCAGCUCGCUGGGGGUUUGCAGACGCUGAGACACGAAAGCCAGGGGAGCGAACGGG
This 253-nucleotide ribosomal RNA is filed under the name uncultured bacterium. Its description in RNAcentral is "partial 16S ribosomal RNA". It matches the Rfam family "Bacterial small subunit ribosomal RNA", at positions 524 to 776 of the family's 1533-position model. The record is from RNAcentral.